AGCGAACGCUGGCGGCAGGCUUAACACAUGCAAGUCGAGCGGGCACUUCGGUGUCAGCGGCAGACGGGUGAGUAACACGUGGGAACGUACCCUUUGGUUCGGAAUAACGCUGGGAAACUAGCGCUAAUACCGGAUACGCCCUUUUGGGGAAAGGCUUGCUGCCGAAGGAUCGGCCCGCGUCUGAUUAGCUAGUUGGUGGGGUAAUGGCCUACCAAGGCGACGAUCAGUAGCUGGUCUGAAAGGAUGAUCAGCCACACUGGGACUGAGACACGGCCCAGACUCCUACGGGAGGCAGCAGUGGGGAAUAUUGGACAAUGGGCGCAAGCCUGAUCCAGCCAUGCCGCGUGAGUGAUGAAGGCCUUAGGGUUGUAAAGCUCUUUUGUCCGGGACGAUAAUGACGGUACCGGAAGAAUAAGCCCCGGCUAACUUCGUG
This 433-nucleotide ribosomal RNA is filed under the name uncultured bacterium. RNAcentral's name for it is "partial 16S ribosomal RNA". It matches the Rfam family "Bacterial small subunit ribosomal RNA", at positions 29 to 507 of the family's 1533-position model. The record is from RNAcentral.